Molecule: ribosomal RNA, 403 nt
Filed under: Fusobacteriota bacterium
Lineage: Bacteria; Fusobacteriati; Fusobacteriota
Description: Fusobacteria bacterium partial 16S ribosomal RNA
Rfam family: Bacterial small subunit ribosomal RNA
Source: RNAcentral
UGGGGAAUAUUGCACAAUGGAGGGAACUCUGAUGCAGCGACGCCGCGUGAACGAAGAAGGCUUUCGAGUCGUAAAGUUCUUUUAUAUGGGAAGAUAAUGACGGUACCAUAAGAAAAAGCCCCGGCUAACUACGUGCCAGCAGCCGCGGUAAUACGUAGGGGGCUAGCGUUGUCCGGAAUCACUGGGCGUAAAGGGUUCGCAGGCGGAAAUGCAAGUCAGGUGUAAAAGGCAGUAGCUUAACUACUGUAAGCAUUUGAAACUGCAUAUCUUGAGAAGAGUAGAGGUAAGUGGAAUUUUUAGUGUAGCGGUGAAAUGCGUAGAUAUUAAAAAGAAUACCGGUGGCGAAGGGGACUUACUGGGCUCAUUCUGACGCUGAGGAACGAAAGCGUGGGUAGCAAACAGG